Molecule: ribosomal RNA, 253 nt
Filed under: uncultured bacterium
Lineage: Bacteria
Description: partial 16S ribosomal RNA
Rfam family: Bacterial small subunit ribosomal RNA
Source: RNAcentral
UACGUAGGGGGCAAGCGUUGUCCGGAUUUAUUGGGCGUAAAGCGCGUGUAGGCGGCCAUACAGGUCCGUUGUGAAAACUCGAGGCUUAACCUCGAGACGUCGAUGGAAACCGUAUGGCUAGAGUCCGGAAGAGGAGAGUGGAAUUCCUGGUGUAGCGGUGAAAUGCGCAGAUAUCAGGAAGAACACCAAUGGCGAAGGCAGCUCUCUGGGACGGUACUGACACUGAGACGCGAAAGCGUGGGGAGCGAACAGG